AUCCAACUGACGAGUCCCAGAGAGGACGAAACGCGCGUCGUGGAU
Schistosoma mansoni is the source of this 45-nucleotide non-coding RNA. The record is from Rfam. Lineage: Eukaryota; Metazoa; Platyhelminthes; Trematoda; Strigeidida; Schistosomatidae.